CGCCGUACCAGAUUCACAAGUGUAUUUUUUUUUUAUUCCAAACAAUAAUAGUGGCAUAAUUCAGUUAAUUGAGUUUGCGCACACGUCAAAUGAUCAAUGCAGCUAAACUUUUUAAAUUUUCGUUUAGAAGUAGAUAGCUGAGUGUCUGGAUGGGGUUUACAGAAUAGAAAAUAUUGGGCAAAAAGUGCGUAAAAACGGCAAAAAAAAAGACUAAAGAAAAAUAUGCAAAAAAUACAGAAAAGAGAAUAAUGGGAUGCUUAAACAUAAAGAAAAGAGAAUAGUGGGC
This 286-nucleotide long non-coding RNA is filed under the name Mytilus galloprovincialis (Mediterranean mussel). The record is from RNAcentral. Lineage: Eukaryota; Metazoa; Mollusca; Bivalvia; Mytilida; Mytilidae.